GUCCACGCCCUAAACGAUGUCAACUGGUUGUUGGACGGCUUGCUGUUCAGUAACGAAGCUAACGCGUGAAGUUGACCGCCUGGGGAGUACGGCCGCAAGGUUGAAACUCAAAGGAAUUGACGGGACCCGCACAAGCGGUGGAUGAUGUGGUUUAAUUCGAUGCAACGCGAAACCUUACCUAUCCUUGACAUGUCAAGAAUUUUGCAGAGAUGUGAAAGUGCUCGAAAGAGAACUUGAACACAGGUGCUGCAUGGCCGUCGU
RNAcentral lists this ribosomal RNA (261 nucleotides) under uncultured bacterium. RNAcentral's name for it is "partial 16S ribosomal RNA". It matches the Rfam family "Bacterial small subunit ribosomal RNA", at positions 793 to 1055 of the family's 1533-position model. The record is from RNAcentral.